AUUGAACGCUGGCGGCAUGCCUUACACACGCAAGUCGAACGGCAGCACGGGAGCUUGCUCCUGGUGGCGAGUGGCGAACGGGUGAGUAAUGCAUCGGAACGUGCCCUGAAGUGGGGGAUAACGUAGCGAAAGUUACGCUAAUACCGCAUAUUCUGUGAGCAGGAAAGCAGGGGAUCUUCGGACCUUGCGCUUUUGGAGCGGCCGAUGUCGGAUUAGCUAGUUGGUGGGGUAAAGGCCCACCAAGGCGACGAUCCGUAGCGGGUCUGAGAGGAUGAUCCGCCACACUGGAACUGAGACACGGUCCAGACUCCUACGGGAGGCAGCAGUGGGGAAUAUUGGACAAUGGGCGCAAGCCUGAUCCAGCAAUGCCGCGUGUGUGAAGAAGGCCUGCGGGUUGUAAAGCACUUUCAGUGGGGAAGAACGGAUACGGGCCAAUACCCCGCAUCACUGACGUUACCCACAGAAGAAGCACCGGCUAACUCCGUGCCAGCAGCCG
This 496-nucleotide ribosomal RNA is filed under the name uncultured bacterium. RNAcentral describes it as "bacterial SSU rRNA". It matches the Rfam family "Bacterial small subunit ribosomal RNA", at positions 30 to 517 of the family's 1533-position model. The record is from RNAcentral.